CAGGGUGACAGCCCCGUACACAAAAAUGCACAUGCUGUGAGCUCGAUGAGUAGGGCGGGACACGUGGUAUCCUGUCUGAAUAUGGGGGGACCAUCCUCCAAGGCUAAAUACUCCUGACUGACCGAUAGUGAACCAGUACCGUGAGGGAAAGGCGAAAAGAACCCCGGCGAGGGGAGUGAAAAAGAACCUGAAACCGUGUACGUACAAGCAGUGGGAGCACGCUUAGGCGUGUGACUGCGUACCUUUUGUAUAAUGGGUCAGCGACUUAUAUUCUGUAGCAAGGUUAACCGAAUAGGGGAGCCGAAGGGAAACCGAGUCUUAACUGGGCGUUAAGUUGCAGGGUAUAGACCCGAAACCCGGUGAUCUAGCCAUGGGCAGGUUGAAGGUUGGGUAACACUAACUGGAGGACCGAACCGACUAAUGUUGAAAAAUUAGCGGAUGACUUGUGGCUGGGGGUGAAAGGCCAAUCAAACCGGGAGAUAGCUGGUUCUCCCCGAAAGCUAUUUAGGUAGCGCCUCGUGAAUUCAUCUCCGGGGGUAGAGCACUGUUUCGGCAAGGGGGUCAUCCCGACUUACCAACCCGAUGCAAACUGCGAAUACCGGAGAAUGUUAU
Molecule: ribosomal RNA, 612 nt
Filed under: Escherichia coli
Lineage: Bacteria; Pseudomonadati; Pseudomonadota; Gammaproteobacteria; Enterobacterales; Enterobacteriaceae
Description: partial 23S ribosomal RNA
Rfam family: Bacterial large subunit ribosomal RNA
Source: RNAcentral